RNAcentral lists this ribosomal RNA (100 nucleotides) under Encephalitozoon hellem. RNAcentral describes it as "5.8S ribosomal RNA". The record is from RNAcentral. Lineage: Eukaryota; Fungi; Microsporidia; Unikaryonidae.
CUUUCUCUAUCCAUGGGAUUGAUUGGCAUUAUCUGCGAUGAAGGACGUGCUGGAGGACGAUAUGCCGUUUUUUUUAGCGGAUGUCUGAAUUAGGUGUUUG